This is a long non-coding RNA of Neoarius graeffei (lesser salmon catfish), 2735 nucleotides long. RefSeq lists it as uncharacterized. The record is from RefSeq and is a predicted model, not a curated record. The transcript is spliced from 2 exons. Lineage: Eukaryota; Metazoa; Chordata; Actinopteri; Siluriformes; Ariidae.
AGCUGCUUCCAAGGGUUCUCCAUUUGUGCUUGCAUUAACCCUAACUGUGUCUCAGAAUUCUCUUUCCAGGUUUGCUACACUGGGGCAGGUUCAGUCACCAGCCACAUCACAAGAGAUAGCACACUGGAAAAAAGCCAGUUGUGUCAAAUGUAAUGGGGUGUGGUAUGGUCCUUAUACCGGGCCAGGUCAUAUGGGAAUGCCCUGCCUCCCUGGUUAUUUCCCCAUGUUUAAGUUGAUACAUGGGCAGAACUAUGUAUCAAAAGGGGGAAUGAUGAGCUAUAUGUCUAAAUAUUGAUUCACAAAGGGGUUUUCAAUUUUCUCCCAAAAAUUUUGUGAAAAAUGUCCCAUUUGCAUAAUACACAAUAAAGAGAAAAGUGAGAGUAUGCCUAUAGCUGCGCGCUCAACACCAGACAUGCCAUUUGAUCAUUUGCAGAUGGAUUUCACUGAGCUCUUGCCCGCUGAGGGAAAGAAGUAUUGCCUAGUGAUUACUGACAUGUUCUCUAAGCGGGUAGAGGCAUUUCCAACCUCCAAACAAGAUGCAGGUACAGUAGCAAAGGCCCUCCUGACUGAAAUUAUUUCAUGUUGGGGUUCCAAAGAAAAUCAGCAGUGAUAAUGGUACCUUGUUUGUUAAUCAGGCACUGAAACAAGCAAGUGAGGUGAUGGGUCAAAACCCAACACACCACAGUGUCCAUCACCCUGUGAGUGCUGGUGCAGUAGAGAGAGAAAAUAGCACAUUGAAGAACAAAUUGGCUAAAUGGUGCGAAGAUAUGGGCCUAAAUUGUGUAAAGGCCCUCCCUAUUGUGUUGUUCCAUAUGAGAAAGCAUGUAAGAGCAAAGAACAAUCUCAGCCCCUUUGAAAUUCUGUUUGGGAGGCCACCCAAUGCUGUCGUGGGCUCAGGGCCUAAACCACAAGCCCUCACUGUGUUGUGUGAAGAUGAAAUGUGUUAUUGUAUGGAUCUCUUCUCUGCUCGCUCUAUCACUCUCAGGCAGGUGAAGGACACACUUCCAGUCCCACUGUCCAGACCUCUACAUGAUUUGAAGCCUGGCAAUUGGAUUGUUGUCAAGGACCUGAGAAGGAAGAGCUGGAGAUGGCCACAGUGGUUGGGACUGUAUCAGGUGCUGCUGACGACGCAAACAGCUGUUAAGAUAGGGGAGAGAGCCAUAUGGAUACGCGCCCCACACUGUAAGCAUGCACCACUGUCUGGAGGAACAGAGGAGGAUGAAAAGGAACCAUCGAAGAUGAAGGAGAAAGAGAGCAGUGAGUAGGACCACUCAUUGUAAAGUUUUAUCCUGUGUUCUCAAGAUCAUCAGUGGCACGGGCGCCAGAAUGAUUUCCAUGGCACGCGCUGCACCACUCUGCAAAUGUAAUCUUGCGUGAAUACGACUGACUGGAAAGACGGAUCUCUAGAACACCUGUCUACGUGAUAACACUGAUGCUUAUAGUUUAUAGAUCUGCUCAAUCGUGUUUAUAUGAUUGUCUUCCGCGGGCCGGAUUAAAAACGCCAACGGGCCGGAUGUGGCCCGCGGGCCGUAGUUUGCCCACCUCUGUCUCAGAGGCUUGCAUAAGAUCCCAGCUAACAUAUGGAACAGCUGCUUCACUUCCAAAUGAACAAUAGCUUAAGAAGCUGGAGGCAUGUUGAAGUCAAUGUCUACGUAGUAUAGUAAAAGAUGGAUGGAAGUGAAGGCACAUUACAGGAAGUAACAAUGAAGAUGAAGAGACAGAUUAGGCUUUCAUUUACAUGAAUGAGCAGAUCAAGAACAUUCUCAAAACAACACCUCUACAUGAUGUUAUAGUCAAUACCUCAAGUACAUUGGCUACGUGUGUCAUGUAAAAAACACAGCACUGACUAAAAUAUUACUGUUUGCAAAACCGGAAAGAAAGUACUACCGUAACUCCUGGGUGAAGAUAUCCGAACUCCUUGGAGUUUCCAGUGAUCAGGCGAAAAGAAUGACCCAGUUAUGAAAUGGGUUCACCAACUUAAUAAGGAAACAUUUCAAGUUGCCUCUGUAAACUCAACGUCUGUUUUGUGGAGGAAUCUAUAGGUAGGUUUCUCAACUGUGAAUAAGUAUAAACUCUAGAUAAAAUGAGAAACUGUUUAUUCUUGCUUAUGCUUGUUGCUGGUUGAAACAAUAGUAUGACAGCCAUGUUUGAUUUGUAUAAUGUAAUCUGCAUAUUUUUCUAACUGUUAAUCUGCCAUUUGUGUAGAGAUGUCUGUCUCGCAAAAACAGCAGUAUAAUCAUUUCAAUUUCCCUGUUAAUGAAGUGCCUGUUUGAAAGCCUGUAUAGGAGAGUCAGGGACAGAGAAAAAUGUAUUAGGAAAAGACUUCUACUUUAUUAUAAUUAUCAAAGAAUUGAUAAAAGGGGAAAUGUGUAGAGGAAAUUUGCAAAGUAGUGAUUUUUAGAGAAGUAAGCUUUAGAAAAACACUGUCUAAAGGCAAGGAAUGUUGUUACAAGUAUGUGUGCGUAGAGAGAGAGUUGUUGUUGUUGUUGUUGUUAUUAUUAUUAAUGGCACACACUCAGAGAAGCAACUCCAAGACAACCGCAGCGCCAAAAUGCUCUGACCACUAUCCUUGAAGGGGAAAAAGGAAAACGCCUGGCAUGGCAAAGCUGUAUUAAAGUGUGUCCGUGGAAACAGGAAGUGCUUCUUCUCUGGGUGAAAUGUGCUGGUAUUCACUGUUUGGAAGCCUGCUUUUGCGAAAGUACAAUAAAGUCAGAGUUCUGUCUGCUUUCUUCUAA